Molecule: long non-coding RNA, 660 nt
Filed under: Priapulus caudatus
Lineage: Eukaryota; Metazoa; Priapulida; Priapulimorpha; Priapulimorphida; Priapulidae
Description: uncharacterized LOC106811684, transcript variant X1
Source: RNAcentral
UAGAUUCCAGUGCUUAGCUCAGGGUGGAGGGACAUGUCAAAGUCUAGGAGUAUAGGAAGGGAUAUAGUGCAUAGUGGUGGUUCAGGGCGGAGGGAUAGGUCAAAGUCUGGGAGUAUAGGAAGAGAUAGAGUGCAUAGUGGUCAUUCAGGGCGCAGGGACAGGUCAAAGUCUAGGAGUAUAGGAAGGGAUAUAGUGCAUAGUGGUCGUUCAGGGCGCAGGACAGGGUCAAAGUCUAGGAGUAUACAUGUAGGAAGGGAUAGAUCGCAUAGUGGUGGUUCAGAGCGCGACAGUGUAUAUAGAUUUAUAACACCUAGACGCAGGGAGACUCAGAGAAGUUUAGAUAGUUUUUUAACAUUUAGUGGCUCAGGAUGCAGAAACAGCAGUGUAGAUAGGGUUAGAACCCCUGCUAGUUCAACCUCACAUGCAGGACAAAGAGGGAGGACUAUUAGAGGAUAGGUGUAGCAAGUCAGGGAUUGGAGGGGAGACUCCUGCUCGAAAAAGGUCCAGAGCGGCAUCUGAAAGUUCACGGCCUUCAACAAAAAGAUUUUGCUCUGCUGACGACAGAUACCCCAGCUCUUUCAGAAGCGAAAUUCCAGAAAGGUGUGAUCAAGCUGCUGCUUUCCAUCAGGGACACCAUGCUGCUGGACAUUGCCCUGAUGG